This 357-nucleotide long non-coding RNA is filed under the name Carica papaya (papaya). RNAcentral's name for it is "long non-coding RNA (CPAP_LNC007548)". Lineage: Eukaryota; Viridiplantae; Streptophyta; Magnoliopsida; Brassicales; Caricaceae. The record is from RNAcentral.
GGUUAAUUACCUCGUUAGUAGAUACUCAUUUGAUAUUUCAUAAUCAUUUUCAUAUGGAUCAUACGGAACGUAUAGCAAUGUUAGCGGGAGUUUUAGUGAUGCUUAUAGGAAUUUAUAUUCAUAGAAUGAGAAAACUUAGUCAUGUGCAUGAAUUAAGGCUUGAAGGUGAGAAAGUUCGAGCCAAGCUUAUGGAAAGCUUAGUAUCAAGUGAGUUCUGUCGGCACAUUAUUAGGUGACAGCUCCAUCAUUUACAAAAUUAUGUCAUCUACUAGUUACAGAAUGUGGACUUAGACCUACCAUUCGUGUAACUGUACAGGAAAAAUACUCAAGACACUUUACUUAUUAUAACACAGUCAA